AUGAACGCUGGCGGCGUGCUUAACACAUGCAAGUCGCACGGUGAAGGCGGAGCUUGCUCUGCUGGAUCAGUGGCGAACGGGUGAGUAACACGUGAGCAAUCUGCCCCUGACUCUGGGAUAAGCGCUGGAAACGGCGUCUAAUACUGGAUACGAGCUGCGAAGGCAUCUUCAGCAGCUGGAAAGAAUUUCGGUCAGGGAUGAGCUCGCGGCCUAUCAGCUUGUUGGUGAGGUAAUGGCUCACCAAGGCGUCGACGGGUAGCCGGCCUGAGAGGGUGACCGGCCACACUGGGACUGAGACACGGCCCAGACUCCUACGGGAGGCAGCAGUGGGGAAUAUUGCACAAUGGGCGAAAGCCUGAUGCAGCAACGCCGCGUGAGGGACGACGGCCUUCGGGUUGUAAACCUCUUUUAGCAGGGAAGAAGCGAAAGUGACGGUACCUGCAGAAAAAGCGCCGGCUAACUACGUG
This 467-nucleotide ribosomal RNA is filed under the name uncultured bacterium. Its description in RNAcentral is "partial 16S ribosomal RNA". It matches the Rfam family "Bacterial small subunit ribosomal RNA", at positions 29 to 507 of the family's 1533-position model. The record is from RNAcentral.